Molecule: ribosomal RNA, 279 nt
Filed under: uncultured bacterium
Lineage: Bacteria
Description: partial 16S ribosomal RNA
Rfam family: Bacterial small subunit ribosomal RNA
Source: RNAcentral
UGCCAGCAGCCGCGGUAAUACGGAGGGUGCAAGCGUUGCUCGGAAUCACUGGGCGUAAAGCGUACGCAGGCGGAUUUGCAGGUCGAUUGUGAAAUCCCAAGGCUCAACCUUGGAACUGCUGUCGAAACCGCAAGUCUUGAGUACGGGAGAGGGACGCGGAAUUCCUGGUGUAGAGGUGAAAUUCGUAGAUAUCAGGAGGAACACCCGUGGCGAAAGCGGCGUCCUGGCCCGAUACUGACGCUCAUGUACGAAAGCGUGGGGAGCAAACAGGAUUAGAUA